CCUCGGUAAUGGUGGACCAGACUUGGGAGCUCUGGAUGGCUCUGCUUGGAAGCCCUUUGGAGGCCCAUGGAGGUCAGCUAGAGGUCUGCAGCCAUAAGAGGCUAGCCGGCGGGAGGCGGGAGCUGCAGGAGGACGGUGUCAGCAUUAUCCUUUAGGGUGGAGCCAGGUGUCCACAGAGAGAAGCAGAGGAGAGACCCAAGGGGGAAUAAUGACAAGGAAAAGAGUCUGUACCUGCAACCAUCAUAGCCCUAACUACACAGUACACGAAGGAGACAUGAAGUGACAACAGUCCACAAAUACCAGAGUUGGAGGAUCUGGACCUGGUGGGCGCUCCUGCAGGGGGUGCUCACCCAUCACUGCAUUCUCCUCGAUUGCCAGUGCUCAAUGCAUAGCAAAUUCAAGUUCUU
RNAcentral lists this long non-coding RNA (407 nucleotides) under Fukomys damarensis (Damara mole-rat). RNAcentral's name for it is "lncRNA (ENSFDAG00000026292.1)". The record is from RNAcentral. Lineage: Eukaryota; Metazoa; Chordata; Mammalia; Rodentia; Bathyergidae.